Molecule: ribosomal RNA, 1715 nt
Filed under: Paenibacillus sp. ICGEB2008
Lineage: Bacteria; Bacillati; Bacillota; Bacilli; Caryophanales; Paenibacillaceae
Description: bacterial LSU rRNA
Rfam family: Bacterial large subunit ribosomal RNA
Source: RNAcentral
UAAGAAUCGUGGAGGUAGAGCACUGAUUGGGUGCGGGGCCCGCAAGGGUUACCAAGCUCAGUCAAACUCCGAAUGCCAUAGAUUUAGUUCCGGGAGUCAGACAGUGAGUGCUAAGAUCCAUUGUCGAAAGGGAAACAGCCCAGGACCAUCAGCUAAGGUCCCCAAGUGUGUGUUAAGUGGGAAAGGAUGUGGAGUUGCACAGACAACCAGGAUGUUGGCUUAGAAGCAGCCACCAUUGAAAGAGUGCGUAAUAGCUCACUGGUCGAGUGACUCUGCGCCGAAAAUGUAACGGGGCUAAACACACCACCGAAGCUAUGGCUUGAUGCUUGCAUCAGGGGUAGGGGAGCGUUGAAUGCGGGUUGAAGGUGUACCGGAAGGAGCGCUGGACUGCAUUCAAGUGAGAAUGCCGGUAUGAGUAACGAAAAGAUCUGUGAGAAUCAGAUCCGCCGAAAGCCUAAGGGUUCCUGAGGAAGGUUCGUCCGCUCAGGGUAAGUCGGGACCUAAGGCGAGGCCGAUAGGCGUAGUCGAAGGACAACAGGUAGAAAUUCCUGUACCACCGUAAUCCGUUAUGAGCGAUGGGGUGACGCAGUAGGGUAGUGACGCGGACUGAUGGAUGUCCGUCUAAGCAGUGAGGCUGAUGUGUAGGCAAAUCCGCACAUCGUAAGGCUGGGCUGUGAUGGGGAGCGAAAAUUACAGUAGCGAAGGUCAUGAUCUCAGACUGCCAAGAAAAGCCUCUAGCCAGGAGAAGGUGCCCGUACCGCAAACCGACACAGGUAGGCGAGAAGAGAAUUCUAAGGCGCGCGGAAGAACUCUCGUUAAGGAACUCGGCAAAAUGACCCCGUAACUUCGGGAGAAGGGGUGCCUCGGUAGGGUGAAUAGCCCGAGGGGGCCGCAGUGAAAAGGCCCAAGCGACUGUUUAGCAAAAACACAGGUCUGUGCGAAGCCGCAAGGCGAAGUAUACGGGCUGACGCCUGCCCGGUGCUGGAAGGUUAAGGGGAGUGGUAAGCUCGCAAGAGCGAAGCUAUGAACCGAAGCCCCAGUAAACGGCGGCCGUAACUAUAACGGUCCUAAGGUAGCGAAAUUCCUUGUCAGGUAAAUUCUGACCCGCACGAAUGGCGUAACGACUUGGGCGCUGUCUCAACGAGAGAUCCGGUGAAAUUUUAAUACCUGUGAAGAUGCAGGUUACCCGCGACAAGACGGAAAGACCCCAUGGAGCUUUACUGCAGCUUGAUAUUGAAUUUGGGUACGAUCUGUACAGGAUAGGUGGGAGCCGUAGAACUUUGAGCGCCAGCUUGAAGGGAGGCAUCCUUGGGAUACCACCCUGAUCGUAUCUAGGUUCUAACUUGGUACCGUGAUCCGGUACGAGGACAGUGUCAGGUGGGCAGUUUGACUGGGGCGGUCGCCUCCUAAAGAGUAACGGAGGCGCCCCAAGGUUCCCUCAGAAUGGUUGGAAAUCAUUCGAAGAGUGCAAAGGCAGAAGGGAGCUUGACUGCGAGACCUACAAGUCGAGCAGGGACGAAAGUCGGGCUUAGUGAUCCGGUGGUACCGCAUGGAAGGGCCAUCGCUCAACGGAUAAAAGCUACCCUGGGAUAACAGGCUAUCUCCCCAAGAGUCCACAUCGACGGGGAGGUUUGGCACCUCGAUGUCGGCUCAUCGCAUCCUGGGGCUGAAGUAGGUCCCAAGGGUUGGGCUGUUCCCAUUAAAGCGGUACGCGA